AACGAACGCUGGCGGCAUGCCUAACACAUGCAAGUCGAACGAGACCUUCGGGUCUAGUGGCGCACGGGUGCGUAACGCGUGGGAACCUGCCUUUAGGUUCGGAAUAACUCAGAGAAAUUUGAGCUAAUACCGGAUAAUGUCUUCGGACCAAAGAUUUAUCGCCUUUAGAUGGGCCCGCGUAAGAUUAGCUAGUUGGUGGGGUAAAGGCCUACCAAGGCGACGAUCUUUAGCUGGUCUGAGAGGAUGAUCAGCCACACUGGGACUGAGACACGGCCCAGACUCCUACGGGAGGCAGCAGUGGGGAAUAUUGGACAAUGGGGGCGAACCCUGAUCCAGCAAUGCCGCGUGAGUGAUGAAGGCCUUAGGGUUGUAAAGCACUUUGUCAGGAACGAAACGGUACUGGGCUAAUAUCCUGGGCUAAUGACGGUACCUGAAGAAUAAGCACCGGCUAACUACGUGCCAGCAGCCGCGGUAAU
This 476-nucleotide ribosomal RNA is filed under the name uncultured bacterium. RNAcentral describes it as "bacterial SSU rRNA". It matches the Rfam family "Bacterial small subunit ribosomal RNA", at positions 29 to 524 of the family's 1533-position model. The record is from RNAcentral.